UUGGACUUUGAGUAUUCUUUCUUCAAUCUCUCUAGGCUCUCAAUAUCUUCUCUCCCAAACUCUCGAUGCUAUUUUCGUCACAACCCUUCUUCAACAUUCUGAAAAACUAUUGUUGAGGUUCAUGAGUGUUAUUGCCACUAACGGGAAGAUUUUCAUCAGUUCAAGUUUCUGUUUUAAUUGACACAGUAUGUUUCUAUGAUUCGAACUCUCAUUGGGAGGAUAUUACAUAUCGAGUCUUAUAUCAGUUCAAGUGAAAGAAUACACUUUGACUGUUUUACAUCGAUUCCAAUAACUCUCUAUUUAGAGGAUUUUUCAUUCAUACUUUUCUUUUGAUGUGUUUUUAGCAUUUACUCAGUUUCAUUUUAAC
This 367-nucleotide long non-coding RNA is filed under the name Cicer arietinum (chickpea). Its description in RNAcentral is "long non-coding RNA (CARI_LNC000234)". The record is from RNAcentral. Lineage: Eukaryota; Viridiplantae; Streptophyta; Magnoliopsida; Fabales; Fabaceae.